Sphaerodactylus townsendi is the source of this 411-nucleotide long non-coding RNA. RefSeq lists it as uncharacterized. The record is from RefSeq and is a predicted model, not a curated record. The transcript is spliced from 2 exons. Lineage: Eukaryota; Metazoa; Chordata; Lepidosauria; Squamata; Sphaerodactylidae.
GAACCGACACUGGAGAUGGUCUGAUAGAUCUACAGUCAACUACAGGGCUUGGAAUACUGGUGAACCCAACAAUUCUAAAAAUAAUGAAUACUGCGUAGAGCUUUGGUGUGACUCAGGUUAUCUUGCGUGGAACGAUGAGAAUUGCAGAAGUGAGCGCUCGUACGUCUGUGAGUUUGUGCGCUAGUGCUGGCAGCUCCUUCUCCAAGAUUCCAGAAACAACUCUGAGGAACCCAUCCGUUUCGACUAGAGAGCCUUCACAACUUUCACCCUUCCUUCCAAGAACCCAGAUCGGCAUCCUACAUUAUAAAUUGUCCUCCUUCUAGAUUGCCUAUAUGUUAACUCACUUAUGAAUCUUGACUGUGAAACUGGAUAACAACAGUAAACUCUGUCUUUGGUUGUUUGCAUACUGAA